RNAcentral lists this ribosomal RNA (492 nucleotides) under uncultured soil bacterium. RNAcentral's name for it is "bacterial SSU rRNA". It matches the Rfam family "Bacterial small subunit ribosomal RNA", at positions 26 to 518 of the family's 1533-position model. The record is from RNAcentral.
AGAUUGAACGCUGGCGGCAUGCCUAACACAUGCAAGUCGAACGGGAGUAGCAAUACUCUAGUGGCGGACGGGUGAGGAAUACGUAGGAAUUUGCCCUUAAGUGGGGGAUAACCCGGGGAAACCCGGAUUAAUACCGCAUGACCUCGAAAGAGCAAAGUGGGGGAUCGCAAGACCUCACGCUUUUGGAGAAGCCUACGUCGGAUUAGCUAGUUGGUGAGGUAAUGGCUCACCAAGGCGACGAUCCGUAACUGGUCUGAGAGGAUGAUCAGUCACACCGGAACUGAGACACGGUCCGGACUCCUACGGGAGGCAGCAGUGGGGAAUAUUGGACAAUGGGCGCAAGCCUGAUCCAGCAAUGCCGCGUGUGUGAAGAAGGCCUUCGGGUUGUAAAGCACUUAAGUUGGAAGAAAAACUCGACGUACUAACUAACAGUGAGUCUUGACGGUACCGAACACGAAUAAGACACCGGCUAACUCAGUCGCAGCGAGCCGC